CUGUCUCUUGCUUCAACAGUGUUUGGAAUGAACAG
Fukomys damarensis (Damara mole-rat) is the source of this 35-nucleotide non-coding RNA. The record is from Rfam. Lineage: Eukaryota; Metazoa; Chordata; Mammalia; Rodentia; Bathyergidae.